This is a long non-coding RNA of Fundulus heteroclitus (mummichog), 445 nucleotides long. RefSeq lists it as uncharacterized. The record is from RefSeq and is a predicted model, not a curated record. Lineage: Eukaryota; Metazoa; Chordata; Actinopteri; Cyprinodontiformes; Fundulidae. The transcript is spliced from 3 exons.
UCAUCAACAUCAUUAACAACCCACUCUCUGGGCAACCGGAGAGAUGCAUUAAACACCAAACUGCCACACUGUUCCCACAAAAAUAUAAAUUUGAUGUAAAGACUCUCAGAGUUGGCUCAUUUGUGGAGAUAGCCCCCUUCAACCCAACCCAUGUGAAUGACAGUGACAGGCAACCAGUGAAAAUCACAACCAUAUGGGCUACAGUCUCUGAUAUUCCACUGGUCCUGUUUGAGGGUACCACUUUCUUUCUGCAACGCACAAAAGACCCACUGACAGGCUGCAAACAGUAUCAGGAAGGGGGAAAAAAAUAAUUUUUCCAACAUCAGCCAUCACUGACACCCUCCUGUUCCUCCACCACAAAUGCUUCUGGGAGCCAAUUGAAAACCUAAGGAUCGGGACAAAGUCUGCUGCCACCAAUGGACAGUACUGUCAAUUAGUUGAAAAA